ACCAUGGCCUGGGCCCCUCUGCUCCUCGCACUGCUUGCCCAUGGCUCAGGUUCCCUGGUCCAGGCAGCGCUGACUCAGCCCCCAUCGCUCUCAGUGGAUCCAGGAAAGGACGCUCAGAUCACCUGCUCUGGGGGCAGCAGCUACUAUGGCUGGUACCAGCAGAAGGUGCCUGGCAGUGCCAUUGUCACUGUGAUCUACGAUAACAACAAGAGACCCUCGGGCAUCCCUUCGCGAUUCUCCGGAUCCGGCUCCGGCUCCACGAACACCUUAACCAUCACUGGGGUCCAACCCGAGGAUGAGGCCGUCUAUUACUGUGGUGGCUGGGACAGCAGCAGCAGCUAUGGUGUCUGA
Melopsittacus undulatus (budgerigar) is the source of this 351-nucleotide non-coding RNA. Lineage: Eukaryota; Metazoa; Chordata; Aves; Psittaciformes; Psittaculidae. The record is from the annotation of a RefSeq genome assembly.